CACGUAGGGGGCAAGCGUUGUCCGGAUUCAUUGGGCGUAAAGAGCUCGUAGGCGGUUCGAUAAGUCGGGUGUGAAACCUCCAGGCUCAACCUGGAGACGCCACCCGAUACUGUCGUGACUAGAGUCCAGUAGGGGAGCGUGGAAUUCCUGGUGUAGCGGUGAAAUGCGCAGAUAUCAGGAGGAACACCAGCGGCGAAGGCGGCGCUCUGGGCUGGCACUGACGCUGAGGAGCGAAAGCCAGGGGAGCAAACGGG
Molecule: ribosomal RNA, 254 nt
Filed under: uncultured bacterium
Lineage: Bacteria
Description: partial 16S ribosomal RNA
Rfam family: Bacterial small subunit ribosomal RNA
Source: RNAcentral